AUCCUGGGCCCACUCUACUCAACUUUAAACUUAAUAUCAUGUGUUAGUAUUAAAAUCAGAGAAAGGAUAGCUACAGCAGGAAUAUUUGACUCUCAUUUUGAUCCUCCAGUACAUGUAUGUUAAAGUUUGAAAGAUUUCCUUGCCCAUUGUGUAAUUUGAUGGGCUAUGAACUAGCUACAGUGCAAGUGUCUACCUUUGAUCUCUGCAUUGGAUUCUCACUUUGAUGCAUGUACAAUUUAUUUUGUAUUUCUUAAUAUUUAUGACUGCAUAUGCAGUACCCUCUAGAGUCUAGUAAAAUGAAUUCAUUGCCAAAUAAAAUACUAUGCACAAAUUGCACAAUAACCACAUGACCACACUCACGCCCAUUUGAAUUUGAUGUCCACUACUCCUCUGCUCUGCUUGCCAGUGCUUGGCUCGAGCAGACCUACAUGGCUUACUCUCUCAUCUGACUGAGUCAAGAUGGUGAGUUUGGCGACAGCUAAAAAAUGGGCUACCUGGACAACAAUAGCUGUCUUUUUCUUAAGUGGAGGAAUGGAAUAUAGUGUUAUCCUUCCCACAUGUUGGGACUACAUGCACGAAGAGUUUGGAGCGCAGAAGUGGCUGUAUGGUCUCACAAUCUCAGCAAUGAGCAUAUCCAACUUGUUAAUUGGUCCUAUCAUGGGUGCAAUCUAUGACAAGACACACCAAACGAAGAUUCUUGUCUUAUUUCUUAACCUUUUUGAAAUUGGAGGUCAGCCAAUUGUCUAUAUUAUAAGCCACUAGGAUGUG
Amphimedon queenslandica is the source of this 768-nucleotide long non-coding RNA. RefSeq lists it as uncharacterized. The transcript has 4 exons. NCBI's taxonomy places the organism in Eukaryota, Metazoa, Porifera, Demospongiae, Haplosclerida, Niphatidae. The record is from RefSeq and is a predicted model, not a curated record.